This 407-nucleotide ribosomal RNA is filed under the name uncultured bacterium. RNAcentral's name for it is "partial 16S ribosomal RNA". It matches the Rfam family "Bacterial small subunit ribosomal RNA", at positions 30 to 526 of the family's 1533-position model. The record is from RNAcentral.
AUUGAACGCUAGCGGGAUGCCUUACACAUGCAAGUCGAACGGAGUGGCGAACGGGUGAGUAAUGUAUCGGAACGUGCCCAGUAGCGGGGGAUAACUACGCGAAAGCGUAGCUAAUACCGCAUACUAUUGGAGCGGCCGAUAUCGGUUUAGCUAGUUGGUGGGGUAACGGCUCACCAAGGCGACGAUCCGUAGCUGGCUUGAGAGGACGACCAGCCACACUGGGACUGAGACACGGCCCAGCCUCCUACGGGAGGCAGCAGUGGGGAAUUUUGGACAAUGGGGGAAACCCUGAUCCAGCCAUCCCGCGUGUGCGAUGAAGGUCUUCGGGUUGUAAAGCACUGUUGUCAGGAAAGCGGUACCUGAAGAAAAAGCAACGGCUAACUACGUGCCAGCCGCCGCGGUAAUAC